GCGAGGGCGCGAGGAGGAUGCCUUGGCUUCGGCAGGCGAAGAAGGGCGCAGCGAGCUGCGAAAAUGUCCGGGGAUCGGCAAGCGCGAAAUGAUCCGGACGCACCCGAAUGGGGCAACCCCCCGGGCUGGAGGCCCGGGACCAGGAGCGAUCCUGGGGCGAACCCGGGGAACUGAAACAUCUCAGUACCCGGAGGAAGAGAAAGAAAAGAUCGAUUCCCCCAGUAGCGGCGAGCGAAGGGGGAAGAGCCUAAACCGUCGCGCUUUCGGGCGCGGCGGGGUCGUAGGACCGGCGGCAUGAGCCGCGCGAGCGAACCGGAAGGCGUUUGGAAAACGCCGGCGCAGAGGGUGACACCCCCGUACGGGCGAGCGAGCGCGGAACUAGCCGGCACCUGAGUAGGGCGGGGCACGAGGAAUCCUGCCUGAACCCGCGGGGACCAUCCCGCAAGGCUAAAGACUGCCGAAGACCGAUAGCGAACCAGUACCGUGAGGGAAAGGUGGGAAGGACCCCGAACAGGGGAGUGAAAAAGAACCUGAAACCGCGCGCCCACGAGCGGUCGGAGCCAUCGCGAGAUGGUGACGGCGUGCCUUUUGGAUAAUGAGCCUACGAGUUGCGUCGCCGGCGCGAGGCUAAGCCCCUCAGGGGCGGAGCCGGAGCGAGAGCGAGUCUUAAUUGGGCGUAGAGUGCCGACGAGCAGACGCGAAACCUAGUGAUCUACCCUUGCCCAGGGUGAAGGCGCCGUAGCAGGCGCUGGAGGCCCGAACCAGUUUCCGUUGAAAAGGGCUUGGAUGAGGUGAGGGUAGGAGUGAAAGGCCAAUCAAACUGGGAGAUAGCUCGUACUCCCCGAAAUGUCUUUAGGGACAGCCCCGUACGCAGAUGCGCAAGGUAGAGCUACCGAUUGGAAGCGAGGGCUUCGCCGCCUGUCAAUUCCAGACGAACUCCGAAUGGGCGCAUCCCAAGGUGCGGGAGUGAGUCGGCGGGUGCUAAUAUCCGUCGGCGAGAGGGUAAGAGCCCAGACCUCCGGCCAAGGCCCCAAAGAGCGGUCUAAGUUGAGACGGAACGAGGUGGCGCCGCAUGGACAGCCAGGAUGUUAGCUUGGAAGCAGCUAUUCAUUCAAAGAGUGCGUAACAGCUCACUGGUCGAGCGGAGCCGCGUGGAUGAUGAGCGGGCAUCAAGACCGCCGCCGAAGCCGAGGGCGCGAGGGAGGGAUCCGCCGCGCGGUAGGGGAGCAUUGAUACCAGCGCUGAAGGCGAACCGCGAGGUUCGCUGGAGCGGUAUGAAAAGAAAAUGUAGGCAUGAGUAACGACAAUGAGCAUGGAAAUGCUCACACCGAAAGCCCAAGGUUUCCUGAACCACGUUAAACGGAUCAGGGUGAGCCGGGAGCUAAGCCGGACCCGAGAGGGGCAGGCGAUGCGCAUGCGUUUAAUAUUACGCAGCCCGCACGGCGGGCGCAGGAGAGACCGAGAAGUGACACUGCCGCGGGGAGACGGAAUUCCCCGUUGAAGGGAGGUAGGCCGCGAGGCCGAGGCCCGACAGAACGGCGAGCCUCCGGGCGAGCCGACAGAGCAGGCAAUCAAGCUCGCGAGAAAAUCCCCUGCGCGUCAAGAGCCGCGCGGCCCGUACCGUAAACCGACACAGGUGGGCGGGGAGAGAAUCCUCAGGUGCUCGAGUGAAUCACGGCCAAGGAACUAGGCAAACUGACCCCGUAACUUCGGGAGAAGGGGUCCCGCCGCGAGGCGGGCGCAGCGAGAAAUGGCCCAGGCGACUGUUUACCAAAAACACAUGGCUAUGCGAAAUCGUUAAGAUGACGAAUAUGGCCUGACACCUGCCCGGUGCCGGAAGGUUAAGAGGGGGGCUAAGGAGGAGUGCGAAUGAAUCCGACGGCCUGAAUUGAAGCCCCGGUAAACGGCGGCCGUAACUAUAACGGUCCUAAGGUAGCGAAAUUCCUUGUCGGGUAAGUUCCGACCUGCACGAACGGUGUAACGAUCUGGGCGCUGUCUCAGCCGUGAGCUCGGUGAAAUUGUAGUGGCGGUGAUGAUGCCGCCUACCCGCAACGGGACGAAAAGACCCCGUGAACCUUUACUACAGCUUAGCGCUGGGUGCGGGCGGACGAUGUGUAGGAUAGGUGGGAGGCAGCGAAGCUGCGGCGCCAGCCGCGGCGGAGCCGAAAGCUGAAAUACCACCCUUCGUCCGUCUGGAUCCUAACCCCGAGAAGGGGACACCGCUUGGCGGGUAGUUUGACUGGGGUGGUCGCCUCCAAAAGAGUAACGGAGGCUUCCCAAGGUCCGCUCAGGGCGAAUGGCAACCGCCCGGCGAGUGCAUUGGCAUAAGCGGGCUUGACUGGGAGACAUACAAGUCGAUCAGGUACGAAAGUAGGGCAAAGUGAUCCGGCGGUGCCUCAUGGGAGGGCCGUCGCUCAUAGGAUAAAAGGUACUCCGGGGAUAACAGGCUGAUCGCUCCCAAGAGCUCAAAUCGACGGAGCGGUUUGGCACCUCGAUGUCGGCUCGUCA
Molecule: ribosomal RNA, 2508 nt
Filed under: bovine gut metagenome
Description: Bacterial large subunit ribosomal RNA
Rfam family: Bacterial large subunit ribosomal RNA
Source: RNAcentral